UACGUAGGGGGCAAGCGUUGUCCGGAAUUAUUGGGCGUAAAGAGCGUGUAGGCGGUCCGGUAAGUCAGCUGUGAAAGUCAAGGGCUCAACCCUUGAAAGCCGGUUGAUACUGUCGGGCUAGAGUCCGGAAGAGGCGAGUGGAAUUCCUGGUGUAGCGGUGAAAUGCGCAGAUAUCAGGAGGAACACCAAUGGCGAAGGCAGCUCGCUGGGACGGUACUGACGCUGAGACGCGAAAGCGUGGGGAGCAAACAGG
This 253-nucleotide ribosomal RNA is filed under the name uncultured bacterium. RNAcentral describes it as "partial 16S ribosomal RNA". It matches the Rfam family "Bacterial small subunit ribosomal RNA", at positions 524 to 776 of the family's 1533-position model. The record is from RNAcentral.